Diorhabda carinulata is the source of this 8522-nucleotide long non-coding RNA. RefSeq lists it as uncharacterized. The record is from RefSeq and is a predicted model, not a curated record. The transcript has 3 exons. Lineage: Eukaryota; Metazoa; Arthropoda; Insecta; Coleoptera; Chrysomelidae.
UGAUCAAACUGAGGAAAAUUGAUGCACUUGUUGUUUAAUAUCUUAAGUUACCAUGUCAGUACCGUGGAUAAAUGAGUCAGUACCGUGGAACUCAAAAUCCGACAUUUGUGUCUUGCUCGUGAUACUUUGAAGUUGUAGUAAAUUCCUCUUAGAGUUUUAUUUUUACAGUAAAAUAGAUGAAUAAUAUGCAUAAAAAAGUUAGAAAAGUUAAAUUUUAAAAUCUUGAAAUUUUGAAUACAAAAAAUCACAGUUAGAACGGAAUCACCCAUUAAUAAUAUAUUUCGAUGAAUUUAUCAAAAUUUAAAUCUUCGUCUAUAUCUCCUCAAUGCAAUUGAAUGUAUUGAAAAUUUUAACUAUCUACCAUUCCUCUUAUUUACAAAACAUGAUGCACAUUCUGUACAAGGUGUACAUCAAGAUAUUUUGCAUAGUACGCACUCGCACACAAAUUGUUUACAAUGUAUAGUAAAUUAUUUCUGUGUAUUUAGUCUAAUGUAAAGCACAAUAAACUAAAACAAGGUUCAUCGAUUAAAUAUUUAGUAGGCAUCAAAAUUCACAUUGUAUGUUCAACAUUUUGGAAAACAAAUAUGAAAAAAGCGAUCAUUAUUAUUUUUUCUAAAAUAUAACCCAUAAUAAUGUUCAAUUAACAUUUAUUUUCUAUGUCGUGAUUGUAUAUGCGAAAAACUCUUUUGAAAAUUGAAUAUUGAAGUUGACGGCUCGGAAUAGGUCUUAAACAAUAAAAUAGAAAUUUGAUUGACCCACAACAUCAAUCAAGACAAAUUUAAAUGCAAGUUAUAUGAUUAGAAAGUUGUUGAUAACAAAAAGAUUCUACGUUAAACGAGUUUUCAUUAAAUUUCUGGCUUACUGGUAAUAAUACCUAUCCAAAACUAACCAGGUAGCUAUUCUAGACGUAUAAGUCUUGAUUUCACUUACAAGCUCCAGAUGUUCGCAGUAGAGUACGAAGGAGACUUGUGAUGAAGAUAUACUAGCGGUCAAAACUUUUUGCUCACUCCAUAAUCCAUUCAAAAUAAUACAUUUUAACAUUAUCAAGCAAAUUCGAAUGGUGUCCCUACUUAUUGCAGUUUUUGGUCAUCCCCAACUCUAGUCGUCGGUCAAUAUGAUACAGCCACGUUUGAAUUUAGCUGCCCAAAAUUUUGCGAUAGUAACUGACGGCAGCUGAAUGCUCAAUCUUUUCCUUUUCAAGAAAUAUCUUCAAAACAAUCCACUUAUACGAUUGUCAAAUAAGCUUCAAACAAAGCUGAAACUUCUGUAGGUGUUUCCAUCGCAAUAUUCAACCGUUUAACUUGUUGAUCGACAGCGCCUCCCACUUAACAAUUCUCCUUUAAACGAUCGAUGCAACUUGUUGCAUAUUGUAUGUACCGUUGAAUUCACAAUCCCGAGAAUAAAUCAAAAUUUCAUAAAGGUUCAAACAAAAACUAUGAUUUCUAGUGAAAAUCGACAUUUUUACUUGAAAAAUUGAAGUUUACAAAGAGCAGUUAUCACUGAGAGACGGAUCUGGAGAAUACGCUGGAUGGUAUGUCGUCUGCUUAAUAUGAUGAGCGCCUGGAUUAUUGUUUUUGAUCAGCAGAGAUUGUCAGAAAGCUUCUGGACUAUUCACAUUCAAAUUAAUCCCUUUUUUAACUUGAUGGGUAUAUAAAAAAGCUUUAAAGUAAACACUAAAGAACAAAACGUUAACGGGAAAGGGUACACCAUUUUUUGGUACUAUAACGACAAAACUGACUAAAAAGAUAUAAAUUGGUCUUUGCAGGAAGACCUGAUUCAGCUACUUUGGUCUUUUAUUAGAGGAUAUAGGAAAUUUUAAAUUUAUUGUAAGGAUGCGACCGAGAUUAUUUCACAGAAAUUAUCAAAAUACGUUAAUAUACAAUGUAAAUAUUGAUGCCUACAUCUGGCAAUAACUUGGAACGUUUUACUUUUUGAUUUAUGUAACAAAGUAAAUUACAAAAUUGUAAAUAAGAAUAAAGAAAUUUAGGCCUCUUUUUAAAAUAAAUGUUGAGUAAAAAUACAUUAGAUUAAACAUCAAGAAAAUCAUCCAAGCUUCAAAAGUAAUCGUCCUCCUCCUCGUCAUCUAUGAUGAUGUCUUUUUCAUCAGCUAUACUCCAAAACCAUUUUCCAAAGUAUUUCAAUUACUGUACCAUAGAAUAUUUGAGUUAAGGUCACUCCAGGUAGAACGAACUCUUCAAGGACAACUCCGAAGCACCAGGAUAACCUCGUAUUUCGUUUCGGGGUCGUACUUUCAAAUAUAGGAUGUUGUUUUGGCUUUUUUGUAAGGUUUUUCUGAUCCAGUUAUCUACAGAGGUUUUUCAUCGCUAACCUUGAGUUAUAAUCUGCUUGACGAUUAACGUUUAGUUCGUUUGCAAUCACUCGAAUCGUUAACUAAAGAUAUUGGUGAAAUCCCCUUAUCUAUUGAUCUCCUUCCUUGUCUUCCACGCUUUCAAUACUCUCUUUGAACAUUUUCUAGCAACGAGACAAUUGUCCACGUCUCAUAGAAUCACCUCCAAACAGUUUUAGUACUUUACUAUAAGUUUUAGUCGCCGUAUCGUAAAAAAAUGAUCUGUAGCUGGAAAAAAUAAGUAUGGAUAGGCAUAUUAUACACAAGAAGUUAGUGUUUGAAUAGAACCAUGCGUUGUUUAAGUCCAAAGGGCUUCGUCUUUAACUUUCCUCCAUUUCUCGUUUAUAUCUUUUCAGCUAAAGAUGAAACUGUUCAUCAUAUUUACGAGUUUUUAAACAAUAAAUACCAUGAGUUGUAUCUUAUUUUCGAUGAAGAAAUUGGAGCUGCUGCAUUUAGCUUUUUACUUCCAACGAUUAAUACAAUAGUUGUGUACAAAACAGUCUCAAAAUAAACAAAAAACUUUGUUGUAUACAUACUGUAACCUCGUAAAUAGUUCAAACGUGUGUUUUUUUAGCAAAACAAAGUGAAGCGUUCUAAAUAAUGAUAACUAUUUGUGAAUAGGCAUUGUUCCCAAAGAAAAACGGCAAAUAUUGAAAACGUAUACGUAAUAUAUCUCGUUUACACUGAGAAAAAUUCCAUCUUCUCAUUUUCCAUGAUAUAUUUCUAUCUUUGUAGAUUGUAUAGUGUGCUUACGUACGUAGUCUAUGGUACAGUGAAGUAGUUUGCAUGAAAUAUCGUGAAUUAUAUUAUUUUUACGUGAUGGAUAAUAAUUUUUAGAAAAUUUUUUCAUAAAACUUUCAUGAUGUACGUUUACGAGGGCGUUUUGACUUUCUCAAUUGUUGACAUCUGUCAAAAGAAUUCCAAUAACAUCUAGAUCCAAAUUUCGAAAUUAUUUCUCAACCAUAAUUUCAAAUUUUCAUAAUAAUUGAAAAAUCGUGUCAAAUUGCCAUCGUAGAAAAUCGAUUUUGUAUAUAAAAAAAAAUUUACUAUUCUUUAAUUCUUGCUUUUCUCUUAUGCUGUUUGUUAUGCAUUUUUUUUGUACCAUACACAUUUUUGCUUAGAAAGCCAAGCAACUGGGAACUUUUGGUAUGAAUUCAAAUUUAUAAAAUUAACAGUAAUAUAAACAGUUGUACUUAAAACAAAAUAAUAUUAACGAAAUAGCACAAGAAUUUUUGACGUUACGUACAGAGUACUUACCAAAAAAAUUGUGUUUUUCCAUAUAUAAUUAUAAUCACUAAAAUUUAAAAUAAACUCAGUCCAAUCGCAACCUUGUAAGAUUGAUUUCUUCUGAGGAAAUUUGGUUAUAGAAAAAACAUAAUUUUGCGUUUCUGAAAUCUCUCAAGAAUUCAUAAAACCCUUCAUAAUAUACAGGAUGCUCCGGGACUUGAUUAAAAAAAUUCUCGUACGAACUUUAAAUGCCUAUAAUUCAGCAACGAAGGGUCGUAUGAGAAAUUUUUUAUGCCAAUGUAUAAUUUUAACUCACUCUCGAAUUUUGUGCAUCAGUUCCGGAACUGAUCUUGUAUAACAAUAUAAUAAAAAAACGGGAAUUGUUCCCGUUGUGACGGCCGAACGCCGACUGACACCUGACGCUAGCAGAAGCUAAAAUGUAGUAAAAGAUCAACGCGCGCAUAGCAGCAAUCAACUUUACUUAUUAUUAUUUUGUUAUAAUUGAUCUUAAUAUCAAUUGAAUGAUUUUUUUUCUUUUAAACAAUAGUGUAUGUUAAAUCAGCUUUAGUUUUAUAUACAUAUAUAAUCGUCUCUCGAGAUAUACGUUGGAAAUAUUUUCUUUGUACGUUCUGCAUGUGCUAUGCGAAUCUAUGGAGAGUAGAAAUUUUUCCUUGUUAAAAAUUAUGAACACUCUUGGGGUAGUUGGUGCAAUUCGAAACGUAGGAAAGUAUGAAAGUUAAAUUAUUUAUUGAACUAGUUAAAAUGGAAACCAGUACCCCGGAGAAGAACUUUACAAAGCGAUUCAUUAAUAGAUGUAAAAAUUUAACACAAAAAUAUCUGUUUCGAGAUUUGUUUGCAGUCCAAAUAAAAGAAUUAGUUUUGUUUAUUUCUUCGAUGAUACUAUUGGAUUUUUUUAUCAUAUUUAAUGAUGGAUUUAAGCAAAAUAUUUACACUCAUUAAUGAAUCAUACUGUAUAUAAAGUAUAUAGAAUGAUAUUUCAUAGUAAAUUUAAUGGUUUUUUCAUUAAGCCAUUACUUGCGAUUAGAAUAAUAUUCAUUUACAACUAUCAGAAAGAAUAAUUUUUGUUAAAAUAUUCUCGUUAAUUGCCAUCGGAAUUUUACUUAUUCUAACUUGUUAUUUGUAUUGUCGUCGAUGUAACUGUGGUUGAUUUCUAUCUUCGUAGUUUUUCACGGCUGUGAUAUCGCCUCAAAAAUUAUUGCUGAUGUUUUAGAAACAAUCAUGCCAACUUUCCGAAAAAAUCAAAAGUUUGAUCCAUUAUAUGAAAGAUAUUUUGUGAAAAUUUCAUAAAAUUUAACUAGUUAUUGAGGAUGCCUCGGAGAUUCUGUACUGAGUGGGCAAUUAAAAACGGACCUCGGCCAUAUCUCAAGAAGGAAAUAACCUUUGUAAAGGGGUAGAUGUUACACAGUGCAAGAUCUGGUGAAUAAGGUGGGUGGUCUAGCACUGGGAUGCUGUACUUCGCUAAAAAACUUUUGAAGAGCAGUACGGACUGAGACACAAGUUUUAAACGUACUUUUGGAAUGUCAAAAUUUCCAUGUGAAAUAUUUUAAUUCCUAUAGAUUUAGCAAUCGCAGGAAAACUUAGCCGACGGUCAUUGAACAAGAUUUUUCAUCCGGAGAAACGUCUCCUAGGUCACCUUGAAAACGCUUAAACCAGUCAAAAACACUUGGACAUCACAAACAUUCAUUACCAUACAGUUUCUUGUGAAAUUUCAUCACAAUCCGUUGUUCUGUUUUUACAUAUAUCGUUUUUACGACAAAACAACAAAAAACAGGGCACGGCUACACUGGUUUAUCUACAGAUACGGUAGACAUCAAUUCAGAAAAACGUCUUCUAGGCCAUCUUGAAAACGCUUAAACCAGUCAAAAACACUUGGACAUCACAAACAUUCAUUGCCGUACAGUUUCUUGUGAAAUUUCAUCACAAUCCGUUGUUCUGUUUUUACAUAUAUCGUUUUUACGAUAAAACAACAAAAAACAGGGCACGGCUACACUGGUUUAUCUACAGAUACGGUAGACAUCAAUUCAGAAAAACGUCUUCUAGGCCAUCUUGAAAACGCUUAAACCAGUCAAAAACACUUGGACAUCACAAACAUUCAUUGCCGUACAGUUUCUUGUGAAAUUUCAUCACAAUCCGUUGUUCUGUUUUUACAUAUAUCGUUUUUACGACAAAACAACAAAAAACAGGGCACGGCUACACUGGUUUAUCUACAGAUAACGUCUUCUAGGCCAUCUUGAAAACGCUUAAACCAGUCAAAAACACUUGGACAUCACAAACAUUCAUUACCAUACAGUUUCUUGUGAAAUUUCAUCACAAUCCGUUGUUCUGUUUUUACAUAUAUCGUUUUUACGACAAAACAACAAAAAACAGGGCACGGCUACACUGGUUUAUCUACAGAUACGGUAGACAUCAAUUCAGAAAAACGUCUUCUAGGCCAUCUUGAAAACGCUUAAACCAGUCAAAAACACUUGGACAUCACAAACUGAAUGUCGUACACUUUUUUGAAUAAAUUAUAAGUUUCCGUUGCAGUUUUCCAGGUUUCAUUUGGAAUUUCAUCACAAUCCGUUGUUUUGUUUGUACAUAUAUCGUUUUUACGAUAAAACGACAAAAAACGGCCCCUAUACAAACGAAGGCCACGGCUACACUGGUUUGUCUGCAGGCACGGUAGACAUCGAUUCAGGCUGAACAGAUUAGUCAUUGGCACGUGCGUAUUUUGCUGUAGAAGCUACUCGUAUAAGCCUAGAUGUGAAUUGUAAAAAACUUUUUCCCAUAUUUGCAUUAUAAGGUACGAUACUUUAAAGAAAAAUAGGUUUUUCUGAAAAAUUUCUGAGGCAUACUUCGAAAUUAUACUGGGUUCAGGAUAAUUUCUUAUUUCAUCGAGUAGAAUUUGGAUUGAAAAACAUUUACGAAUUACAAAUUUGAACCAAAAAAUUCAAUAACUAAAUAAUUUAUCUGAAAUCUUAUAUGUGUAUAUUUUCUUUCUAUUUAUUAUUAUCUAGAAAAAACAAUUAUUAUACAUUGUUUUAUUCCACAAUAUCCAACGUGAAAACCAUUCAUGGCUAUGUUCUUGCGUGUCUUGUAGCAAAGGGCUAAAUUGCAUAAUAAUAAUAAUAAUAAUAAUAAUUUUUGUAUAUUAUAAAUUAUUACCUCGCAACCAAUAGUUGUGUUUCCAUGAAUAUACUUUUUCGUAUGAAAUUGAUUGACAUGAAUUUAACGCUUUGCAUGAUUCUCAGCUAAGUUGAUUGAUUCAAAAAUCUGAAAUUCGAUAUUUCUAAAGUCUAUAUCAAAAUUUCUUACACUGUUCAUAUAUUUUUUAAUUGAAGGAACAAAAUAUUUUUGUAUCGAAGCUAAAUACUACUGGAAAUGUACAAAUAUAUUCCUUAGUAUUUAGAUUUCGUAUUCGUAUCUUGAUAAAAGGAAUCGCAUAAUAAUAAACACCAACUACGCAAUAGAUAGAUACUAAUAUUACUUAUAAUCUUAUAGAGGCAACAAAAAAUGGUUUAAAAGUGAAAUCCAGCCACAGGAAUUAUAAAAUUUGGAAUAACUGAAUAUAGUUUUACAAUCAAACCAAAGGUUUUCCGAUUUUCUUUAAAAUAGCAGAAAGUUGUUUAUUUUUCUCUAGUACAUGAAGUAGUUCGUAUAGAUUUUAAAAAAAUUUACUGUAAACACGUGGAAAUACUGAAAAUUUCUUUUUUGUAGCCUAUGGUUCAUCAUCUAGUCAUACGCGUAGUAAAUAUCCUAUUUUCCAUAUUUGUUAAGGCGGUAAGAUUUUGGAUCCUUGUACAUUUUCAUCAGUUUUUGACGUACAGAUCUUCAACUACAACAUUUUAACCUCAUAUUACUUGUAAACAUUCUCAAAAUCUACUACAUUAUCAUCUUAAACUGACAGAUUUUUUUAUCAGUUUGAAACUCAACUUUUUCUCAUCAACGAAAUAAGAUUUUUCUGUUGUCCAACUAUUUUACGAUCAAGUUCUUCGAGUUUGAAGUACUGUACAACGUCUAUCUUGAAAAUAGGAUAGUCGAAACCAGUUUUCACAGACCAGAAACCUUAUAAUAAUGAGUCAUUCAACAGCGCAACAAAAAGCUAAUGACUAUCAAAUAUCAAAUAACGAAAUUUUUUCCAAAUUCACUGAAAACGUUCACUAUUGAUGGCUGCCAAACAAUCACUAAACAACGUGGCGUCUUCAAACUCUAUUUUUCAAGCAACUACCGCCAUCUCCGGGUCAGGCCAGGUACUUUUAGUACCAUCCUCGUAUCUUCCUCCCCUUUUCCGAUUCCAAUGUUUGUUUACGUUUGAUUGACCCUCGUACUUUUCGAAAAAUUAAUUAUACUUGAAAAAAAAUCUAAAUAUCGAUAGUUCCAGUUACUUUUCUCGAGUUAUUCCAAGUUUUUAAUACGUUCUUUUAUUUAUAUUGUGGAUAAUUAAUAUACUGAUCAUUUUUUGUACCUAAAUCGUCAUUAUUUAAGUCUCUUUAGAUUGAAAAUUAGUUUUUGAAACGUAAAAUCAACGAAAACUUUAAUUUAUACUAAUAAUUAUAUAUAAAUAAUAUUCUGUGAUAUUCCGUUGUAGAAAUAACUUUAAAUCGGACUAUGUGCAACGACGGGCAUUGAAAACAAUGAUUUGUUAUUCAUUUUUUAGGUGGUGUUUAUUAUAUCAAAGCUAAAUACAGAAAAAUACGUUCUGUAUUUUGUUUCGAUGUUUUGUUUGAUGCUAAUUUCUUUAUGCACCGUUUGUUUUAUUUUUUUCUAUACUUCUGCGCUCGCUACACUUUGCGCCACUGCCGAUUUCUACAUCCCAUACGGCCCUGCUGUCAACUUAAUAUUUUGGUACAGCAGCAAAUCUACGGAAGGAAGUUAUUAGAAAUAAAAUCCGAGCAAUUGGAAAAAUGGCCAGAGUAUUUUCUGUCUUAAGAGAGGAAAGCGAGUCUGU